CCAGACUCCUACGGGAGGCAGCAGUGGGGAAUAUUGGGCAAUGGGGGAAACCCUGACCCAGCGACGCCGCGUGAGGGAAGAAGGUUUUCGGAUUGUAAACCUCUGUCCUUGGUGACGAUAAUGACGGUAGCCAAGGAGGAAGCCACGGCUAACUACGUGCCAGCAGCCGCGGUAAUACGGAGGAUGCGAGCGUUAUCCGGAUUUAUUGGGUUUAAAGGGUGCGCAGGCGGCACGGCAAGCCGGCGGUCAAAUCGCGGGGCUCAACCCCGGCCAGCCGUCGGAACUGCCGGGCUAGAGUGGGCGAGAAGUGCGCGGAAUGCGUGGUGUAGCGGUGAAAUGCAUAGAUAUCACGCAGAACUCCGAUGGCGAAGGCAGCGCACCGG
This 383-nucleotide ribosomal RNA is filed under the name uncultured bacterium. RNAcentral's name for it is "partial 16S ribosomal RNA". It matches the Rfam family "Bacterial small subunit ribosomal RNA", at positions 331 to 732 of the family's 1533-position model. The record is from RNAcentral.